UUUGUGAAACACUACGGACGCAAGACUGUUGCUGAAUGAAUGAGUUCAGAAACAAUCCUAUUGCUAAGAGACGGGCAAGGUCUAUAUACAAGAAGAUUCUCCGAUCAAUUAUGAUGAAACAGGCCAAGAACACUCUGGAGUUCAGAGUCUGAAAAUGAAGAAUAUGAACAUUAUAGACAGCCACCUCCACCUCCAAAGACCCACA
Polypterus senegalus (gray bichir) is the source of this 205-nucleotide long non-coding RNA. RefSeq lists it as uncharacterized. The transcript has 3 exons. The record is from RefSeq and is a predicted model, not a curated record. NCBI's taxonomy places the organism in Eukaryota, Metazoa, Chordata, Cladistia, Polypteriformes, Polypteridae.